CCCUUAGAUGUUCUGGGCCGCACGCGCGCUACACUGACGAAGUCAGCGAGCAUGUCCUACGCCGACAGGUGCGGGGAAUCUUGUCAAACUUCGUCGUGAUGGGGAUUGAUUAUUGAAAUUCUUGAUCAUCAACGAGGAAUUCCUAGUAAGCGCAAGUCAGCAGCUUGCGUUGAGUACGUCCCUGCCCUUUGUACACACCGCCCGUCGCUACUACCGAUUGAAUGGUUUAGUGAGAUCUUCGGAUUGGCGCCACUGCGGCUCAGCAAUGGGCUCGGUGGAUGCCGAAAAGUUGAUCAAACUUGAUCAUUUAGAGGAAGUAAAAGUCGUAACA
Molecule: ribosomal RNA, 331 nt
Filed under: uncultured eukaryote
Lineage: Eukaryota
Description: partial 18S ribosomal RNA
Rfam family: Eukaryotic small subunit ribosomal RNA
Source: RNAcentral